AACCCAGGUCUGCUGACUCCUAGUCCAGUGCUUGUGAUGGCUGGUGGGCCCUGAACUAGGGGUCUGGAGGCCUGGGUUUG
This is a microRNA precursor of Camelus dromedarius (Arabian camel), 80 nucleotides long. Ensembl annotates it as microRNA 345. Its record names the gene MIR345. Lineage: Eukaryota; Metazoa; Chordata; Mammalia; Artiodactyla; Camelidae. The record is from Ensembl.